This 872-nucleotide ribosomal RNA is filed under the name uncultured crenarchaeote. RNAcentral describes it as "bacterial SSU rRNA". It matches the Rfam family "Archaeal small subunit ribosomal RNA", at positions 23 to 903 of the family's 1478-position model. Lineage: Archaea; Thermoproteati; Thermoproteota. The record is from RNAcentral.
CCGACUGCUAUCAGAGUGAGAUUAAGCCAUGCGAGUUAACGUAGCAAUACGUGGCACACGGCUCAGUAACACGUAGUCAACAUAACCAAAGGACGUGGAUAAACUCGGGAAACUGAGGCUAAACCGCGAUAGAUCAAGAUACCUGGAAUGGUUUUUGAUCAAAAUCUAUAUGGCCUUUGGAUUGGACUGCGUCCGAUCAGGCUGUUGGUGAGGUAAUGGCCCACCAAACCUGUAACCGGUACGGGCUCUGAGAGGAGGAGCCCGGAGAUGGGUACUGAGAAAAGGACCCAGGCCCUAUGGGGCGCAGCAGGCGCGAAACCUCUGCAAUAGGCGAAAGCCUGACAGGGUUACUCUGAGUGACUUUCGCUAAGAAAGUCUUUUGACACCUCUAAAAAUGGUGUAGAAUAAGGGGUGGGCAAGUCUGGUGUCAGCCGCCGCGGUAAUACCAGCACCCCGAGUGGUCGGGACGAUUAUUGGGCCUAAAGCAUCCGUAGCCGGUUCUGCAAGUCCCCCGUUAAAUCCAGCUGCUCAACAGAUGGGCCGCGGAGGAUACUACAGAGCUAGGAGGCAGGAGAGGCAAGCGGUACUCAGUGGGUAGGGGUAAAAUCCGUUGAUCCAUUGAAGACCACCAGUGGCGAAGGCGGCUUGCCAGAACGCGCUCGACGGUGAGGGAUGAAAGCUGGGGGAGCAAACCGGAUUAGAUACCCGGGUAGUCCCAGCUGUAAACGAUGCAGACUCGGUGAUGGGCUGGCCUUGUGCCAACCCAGUGCCGCAGGGAAGCCGUUAAGUCUGCCGCCUGGGGAGUACGGUCGCAAGACUGAAACUUAAAGGAAUUGGCGGGGGAGCACCACAAGGGGUGAAGCCUGCGGUUC